UGAUAAUUUAGAUGGGCAUUGGAAGGAAAUUCGUACUCUACCAACGAAAUUGAUGAGAUUCGAGAGUUAUAGGCAAAAUACUUUUUAGAAGAGUGCAUGUAA
Molecule: long non-coding RNA, 102 nt
Organism: Ipomoea nil (Japanese morning glory)
Lineage: Eukaryota; Viridiplantae; Streptophyta; Magnoliopsida; Solanales; Convolvulaceae
Exons: 3
Source: RefSeq, a predicted model, not a curated record